Molecule: ribosomal RNA, 160 nt
Filed under: Fructilactobacillus fructivorans
Lineage: Bacteria; Bacillati; Bacillota; Bacilli; Lactobacillales; Lactobacillaceae
Description: partial 16S rRNA
Rfam family: Bacterial small subunit ribosomal RNA
Source: RNAcentral
CUUGUACACACCGCCCGUCACACCAUGAGAGUUUGUAACACCCAAAGCCGGCCGGAUAACCUAGUUUACUAGGAGUCAGCCGUCUAAGGUGGGACAAAUGAUUAGGGUGAAGUCGUAACAAGGUAGCCGUAGGAGAACCUGCGGCUGGAUCACCUCCUUU